UCUGCAGCAUGCUUAUUUGCUCUGGGGAGAAGCUUGCUUCGGAUGUGAUGUGCAUAUUUUUACUAUGGAUGUGGAUGUUUUCCUCUUGACUGAAUAGAAAGUACUUAUUUUUGGCCCUUGCUCCAUCUGAGUCAGUGUAUUGUCAGUCCUUGGUUGUAUAUGGAGGAACUACACUUUCUUUCAGAUGAGCUCCAGUAUAUUUUAUUGCUCUGCCUAAGUUAAUCAAAUCUGUACUGAUUGAAUGCUGAUUGGGAAAGGAUUCCUCAUUCUGUGUUGGAUUUUUGUUUGCAUAAACCUUGCAGACUUUGGAUAUCUGGAAAUAUUUUGACUAUCAUGGAGAAGAUGUCAUCUACUGGGGCACUUUGGGAACAGAUUAACAUAAAGGACUAGCAGAGUUGGUCAUUUAUAUGCUUCAGUUUGGAUUGUACCAGAUGCCUUCUUGAACUGGGUUGUCAGUGGAAAGCUUGUUAUUGUAUCAUUGUCCCAGGUUCCUGACAACAUUCUGAGGGUGUUGACACAAGUCUGACUUUGGAAGCUUAUGCAGUUUAUAUGUCAAGACGACGAGGACUACAGUCUAAACAGAGCAAUGUGCAUUGAGUUGAUGCACAGGCUUGAAGAACAGCAGAGGG
Protopterus annectens (West African lungfish) is the source of this 629-nucleotide long non-coding RNA. RefSeq lists it as uncharacterized. Lineage: Eukaryota; Metazoa; Chordata; Ceratodontiformes; Protopteridae. The record is from RefSeq and is a predicted model, not a curated record. The transcript has 3 exons.